RNAcentral lists this ribosomal RNA (818 nucleotides) under uncultured bacterium. Its description in RNAcentral is "bacterial SSU rRNA". It matches the Rfam family "Bacterial small subunit ribosomal RNA", at positions 45 to 862 of the family's 1533-position model. The record is from RNAcentral.
GGCUUAACACAUGCAAGUCGUACGGAGCAUGCCCUUCGGGGUAUGCUUAGUGGCGCACGGGUGCGUAACACGUAGGCAACCUGCCCAUACUCGGGGGAUAACCACCGGAAACGGUGGCUAAUACCGCAUAUUGACUGGAGACGGCAUCGUCUCCUGUUGAAAGGCUUCGGACGGGUAUGGAUGGGCCUGCGGCGGAUUAGCUAGUUGGUAGGGUAACGGACUACCAAUGCUACGAUCCGUAGCUGGUCUGAGAGGAUGAUCAGCCAAACUGGCACUGAGACACGGGCCAGACUCCUACGGGAGGCAGCAGUGAGGAAUCUUGCGCAAUGGAGGAAACUCUGACGCAGCCACGCCGCGUGAAGGAAGACACCCCUAUGGGGCGUAAACUUCUUUUCUGUGGGAAGAACACUCUGGUCACCAGGGUCUGACGGUACCACAGGAAUAAGCACCGGCUAACUCCGUGCCAGCAGCCGCGGUAAUACGGAGGGUGCAAGCGUUGUCCGGAAUCACUGGGUGUAAAGGGUGUGUAGGCGGGGCAGUAAGUCAGGGGUGAAAGCCUGCGGCUUAACCGUAGAAUUGCCUUUGAUACUGCUGUUCUUGAAUACUGGAGAGGUCGCUGGAAUUCGUGGUGUAGCGGUGAAAUGCGUAGAUAUCACGAGGAACACCAGAGGUGUAGACGGGCGACUGGACAGUUAUUGACGCUGAGGCACGAAAGCGUGGGGAGCAAACAGGAUUAGAUACCCUGGUAGUCCACGCUGUAAACGAUGGAUGCUCGGUGUUGCCCCUAUCAUGGGGGCAGUGCCUAAGCUAACGCGUUA